ACACCGCUGCCACAUCUGGUGAGGGGGGCGGGUCCGCUUUCCGGGUGACUCACAUCCUCGCUAUUUGCCUUUUGUUUCUAUGAUGCCUUGGCUGCUGUUUUCGUCCCUCUGCUUUUAAUUUGGGGAGAAGAAAAGUAAUGAAUCAAGAAUGAAUCUCUUCUCCACCAAUCCCUUUUUUCCCCUUUCUUUUCCUUCUCCCUCAAGUUGGCUCUCUCCCUUCCCAAGUCCCGAAACCAGGCAAGAAGCGCGGGGGCGGGACAGGUGGGGACGCACUAAUUGCACCUAAACCUGAAGUUGGCAGUCCAAGGCAUCACUUGGCUGGGAAGACUUUCUGAAACUCCCUUGCGGACUGCUGGGGUUUUUUGCUGCUGCCGCUGUGCAUUUUCAGCUCGUUUCUCUAUGCUGCGGCUUCGCGCUGCUUGGUCACGCCAAAAUCUAUCUGGUUCUGCCGUAAGUGCCAGAAUCUGGGCGAAUUCCACGAGAUUCACCAGCGGUUUUGUUCCUGUUCAAGGCUUGCCCUCCCCCGCCCCCCGGGUUGGUUUUUCCCAGCCGCGGAGGUUGGGCCAGGGGCUGGGGUGCGAGGAGCGUCGGCUCCGGCAGCGUGGAGCGGGGAAGUCGCCGCGACUCUGGUGGGACUCGGAGUUGUCCCUGGAGGUCGCGCAGUGGACCCAGCGCGAAGCGCCAACCCUAGAGGCAAGGAGGUACCACCCGGGGGCGCCGGCUGGAAGAGGAGCGGGAGGAGUGAGCGCGGAGCUGGGCGUCCCGACCCGCCGGAAACAUCAUACCCUACAUUUCAAGGUGACAACUUGCAUGCAGGAGAAUUGGACUGUGGCUAAAACAGCUGUAACCUGAAGAGUAUCAUGAGAAAGAGCAAAUGAAACAGAUUACAAAGUGAUCACAAUCAUGUCAGAAUUGCAGCAGGAAAAGCCUAGGAGGAAACACAUCACAGUGGCAAAAGUUGUCGUCUAUGGGUAGGUGAAUACAAGUAGAUUUUUUUCUUCUUUCUACUUUUCUGUGUUGUCUAUACAUUUGUAAUGCACUUGUAUUAUUUUUAUAUUUGAAAAUACAAAAUAAACAAACAAAAAAGGAAAAUACA
RNAcentral lists this long non-coding RNA (1096 nucleotides) under Sus scrofa (pig). RNAcentral's name for it is "lncRNA (ENSSSCG00015043933.1)". The record is from RNAcentral. Lineage: Eukaryota; Metazoa; Chordata; Mammalia; Artiodactyla; Suidae.